This 415-nucleotide ribosomal RNA is filed under the name uncultured bacterium. RNAcentral's name for it is "bacterial SSU rRNA". It matches the Rfam family "Bacterial small subunit ribosomal RNA", at positions 483 to 896 of the family's 1533-position model. The record is from RNAcentral.
AGAAGAAGCGCCGGCUAACUACGUGCCAGCAGCCGCGGUAACACGUAGGGCGCAAGCGUUGUCCGGAAUUAUUGGGCGUAAAGAGCUCGUAGGCGGCCUGUUGCGUCCGCUGUGAAAACUCGGGGCUUAACCCCGAGCCUGCAGUGGAUACGGGCAGACUAGAGGUAGGUAGGGGAGAAUGGAAUUCCCGGUGUAGCGGUGAAAUGCGCAGAUAUCGGGAGGAACACCGGUGGCGAAGGCGGUUCUCUGGGCCUUACCUGACGCUGAGGAGCGAAAGCGUGGGGAGCAAACAGGAUUAGAUACCCUGGUAGUCCACGCCGUAAACGUUGGGCGCUAGGUGUGGGAUCCUUCCACGGAUUCCGUGCCGCAGCUAACGCAUUAAGCGCCCCGCCUGGGGAGUACGGCCGCAAGGCUA